RNAcentral lists this ribosomal RNA (478 nucleotides) under uncultured bacterium. RNAcentral's name for it is "partial 16S ribosomal RNA". It matches the Rfam family "Bacterial small subunit ribosomal RNA", at positions 28 to 523 of the family's 1533-position model. The record is from RNAcentral.
GACGAACGCUGGCGGCGUGCUUAACACAUGCAAGUCGGACGGUAAGGCCCUUCGGGGUACACGAGUGGCGAACGGGUGAGUAACACGUGGGUGAUCUGCCCUGCACUUCGGGAUAAGCCUGGGAAACUGGGUCUAAUACCGGAUAGGACUCCGGACUGCAUGGUCUGGGGUGGAAAGCUUUUGCGGUGUGGGAUGGGCCCGCGGCCUAUCAGCUGGUUGGUGGGGUGAUGGCCUACCAAGGCGACGACGGGUAGCCGGCCUGAGAGGGUGACCGGCCACACUGGGACUGAGAUACGGCCCAGACUCCUACGGGAGGCAGCAGUGGGGAAUAUUGCACAAUGGGCGCAAGCCUGAUGCAGCGACGCCGCGUGAGGGAUGACGGCCUUCGGGUUGUAAACCUCCUUCAGCACAGACGAAGCGCAAGUGACGGUAUGUGCAGAAGAAGGACCGGCCAACUACGUGCCAGCAGCCGCAGUAA